RNAcentral lists this ribosomal RNA (525 nucleotides) under Centrolene lynchi (Lynch's giant glass frog). Its description in RNAcentral is "partial 16S ribosomal RNA". It matches the Rfam family "Bacterial large subunit ribosomal RNA", at positions 1856 to 2579 of the family's 2925-position model. The record is from RNAcentral. Lineage: Eukaryota; Metazoa; Chordata; Amphibia; Anura; Centrolenidae.
AGCCUGCCCAGUGACUCUGUUCAACGGCCGCGGUAUCCUAACCGUGCGAAGGUAGCGUAAUCACUUGUUCUUUAAAUGAGGACUAGUAUGAAUGGCACCACGAAGGUUAUACUGUCUCUUCUUUCCAAUCAGUGAAACUAAUCUCCCCGUGAAGAAGCGGGGAUGAAAAUAUAAGACGAGAAGACCCUAUGGAGCUUUAAACCACGCAACACCUGCUUUGACUUAACNUAAAUUUCAGAAAACCCCUCUCCACCCUAGCAGAAUGAUUGCCAGUUUUAGGUUGGGGUGACCGCGGAGCAAAAACCAACCUCCACAUUGAAAGGGCACCUGCCCCUUAGCCAAGAGCCACACCUCCACGCACCAAUAAAAUGACAUUAAUUGACCCAAUAUAUUGAUCAACGAACCAAGUUACCCUAGGGAUAACAGCGCAAUCCACUUCAAGAGCCCCUAUCGACAAGUGGGUUUACGACCUCGAUGUUGGAUCANGGUAUCCCGGUGGUGCAGCCGCUACCAAAGGUUCGUUUG